This 976-nucleotide long non-coding RNA is filed under the name Marmota monax (woodchuck). Lineage: Eukaryota; Metazoa; Chordata; Mammalia; Rodentia; Sciuridae. The record is from RNAcentral.
CUCACCUCGAGCCUCAAGGAAUGGAGCUCGGUCUAUGGACUGAGACCCUGACACUGAGCCCUCAAAUUAACUUUUCCUCUUCUAAAAUUGUUCUUGUUGGGACUUUUAGUCACAGCAGUGAAAAAGCUCACUAAAACACUUAUUAAGGGGACUUACAAAGGAAACUAUAAAGGGGGGUGUAGCAGUGUGUUGUAACCACCUCUUAUUCUUUAGGGGAGAUCAUAGGGCACUACUGGAACUUGGAAAGAGAGUUAUAUGGAAGAGCUGCCUUGAGAAAUGCUGUAAUCAGCAAUUGAGUGUCACAACCAGUCCAAGGCCACCCUGCAGAGAGAAUGCAUGGAAUAGAAACCACUACCUCAAUCUCUUUUCUUCCAUCUCCCUGCUGUUCAACAUUGACUGAACCCAAACUUAAGAUGGAGGCCAACAGAACCCACUUAUGCAGUAUAUGUAGGGCAGUUUUCUUAGGGCACAGAAGAGGGUGGAGAUGGCUGGAGACCAGAGCUCAGGGACAAGUGGACCUUAUCUAUACCUAUACUGAUUAGAUAGCUGGAAACUGGGCAAGGGAUCUAAACUUUCCUCAGGGCUGACAGACCUCAGCCUUCUCUUGUGUAUUCUUAAUGUUCUUUGAUUAAAUAUCUAAGCAAUGCUCUUGUUGGCUGCCCAUCUACAUUUCUCCUGGGAAUACUGUGCUCUGUUAUCCAUCUUAAUAUCCCCCGAAACAGGCUUCUUUGGCUCCCCCUGCAGUAAUUACAUCCAGUUCGUUUCUAAAGUGCUGCCAUCUGCACCUUCUUAUUUUGGGGUGUCCGCAUCCCAUUGCUACUAAGGAUCCAGUUCUGCAGAAGCAUCACCUACUUCAGCCCCUGCCUGUCGAGGAGAGAGAUCAUGGACUUCUCAGUGAUGCUAGUAUGGCCCUCCCUAGCACAUCCAUUCCCACCUUAGGACAAGAAGUGCUCCCUGGAUCUGCCCUAGGAGAUCC